Molecule: ribosomal RNA, 1064 nt
Filed under: uncultured Mycoplasma sp.
Lineage: Bacteria; Bacillati; Mycoplasmatota; Mollicutes; Mycoplasmatales; Mycoplasmataceae
Description: bacterial SSU rRNA
Rfam family: Bacterial small subunit ribosomal RNA
Source: RNAcentral
UGAUAGAUAGCUGGUCUAAGAGGAUGAACAGCCACAAUGGGAUUGAGAUACGGCCCAUAUUCCUACGGGAAGCAGCAGUAGGGAAUCUUCCACAAUGGGCGAAAGCCUGAUGGAGCGAUGCCAUGUGAAUGAUGAAGGUCUUUUUGAUUGUAAAAUUCUUUUAGAGGGGAAAAUAAUGAUGGUACCCUCUGAAUAAGUGACAGCAAACUAUGUGCCAGCAGCUGCGGUAAUACAUAGGUCGCGAGCGUUAUUCGGAUUUAUUGGGCGUAAAGCAAGCGCAGGCGGAUAAGCAAGUUCUAUGUUAAAAGCAGUUGCUCAACAAUUGUUUGCGUCGAAUACUGUUUAUCUAGAAUACGGUAGGAAGUUUUGGAAUUGAAUAUGGAGCGGUGGAAUGUGUAGAUAUAUUCAAGAACACCAGAGGCGAAGGCGAAAACUUAGGCCGUUAUUGACGCUUAGGCUUGAAAGUGUGGGGAGCAAAUGGGAUUAGAUACCCCAGUAGUCCACACCGUAAACGAUGGAUAUUAGAUGUUGGGACUUGAGUCUCAGCGUUGUAGCUUACGUGUUAAAUAUCCCGCCUGGGUAGUACAUAUGCAAAUAUGAAACUCAAAGGAAUUGACGGGGACCUGAACAAGUGGUGGAACAUGUUGCUUAAUUCGAUAAUACACGAAAAACCUUACCAAGGUUUGACAUCCCUCGCAAAACCCUAGAAAUAGGGCGGAGGUUAUCGAGGUGACAGGUGGUGCAUGGUUGUCGUCAGCUCGUGUCGUGAGAUGUUUGGUUAAGUCCCGCAACGAGCGCAACCCUAUCUUUUAGUUAAAUGUCUAGAGGAACUGAACAGUAAUGUAUAGGAAGGGUGGGAUCACGUCAAAUCAUCAUGCCCCUUAUAUCUUGGGCCGCAAACGUGUUACAAUGGCGAGUACAGCGUGUCGCAAGCAAGCGAUUGUAAGCUAAUCACUAAAAACUCGUCUCAGUCCGAAUAAAAGGCUGCAAUUCGCCUUUUUGAAGUUGGAAUCACUAGUAAUCCCGUGUCAGCUAUAUCGGGGUGAAUACGUUCCCAGGUCUUG